AUUGAACGCUGGCGGCAGGCCUAACACAUGCAAGUCGAACGGUAACAGGAAGCAGCUUGCUGCUUCGCUGACGAGUGGCGGACGGGUGAGUAAUGUCUGGGAAACUGCCUGAUGGAGGGGGAUAACUACUGGAAACGGUAGCUAAUACCGCAUAACGUCGCAAGACCAAAGAGGGGGACCUUAGGGCCUCUUGCCAUCGGAUGUGCCCAGAUGGGAUUAGCUAGUAGGUGGGGUAACGGCUCACCUAGGCGACGAUCCCUAGCUGGUCUGAGAGGAUGACCAGCCACACUGGAACUGAGACACGGUCCAGACUCCUACGGGAGGCAGCAGUGGGGAAUAUUGCACAAUGGGCGCAAGCCUGAUGCAGCCAUGCCGCGUGUAUGAAGAAGGCCUUCGGGUUGUAAAGUACUUUCAGCGGGGAGGAAGGGAGUAAAGUUAAUACCUUUGCUCAUUGACGUUACCCGCAGAAGAAGCACCGGCUAACUCCGUA
RNAcentral lists this ribosomal RNA (490 nucleotides) under uncultured bacterium. RNAcentral describes it as "partial 16S ribosomal RNA". It matches the Rfam family "Bacterial small subunit ribosomal RNA", at positions 30 to 507 of the family's 1533-position model. The record is from RNAcentral.